AUGAUACGUAGCCGAGUUGAGAGACUGAUCGGCCACAUUGGGACUGAGACACGGCCCAGACUCCUACGGGAGGCAGCAGUAGGGAAUCUUCCACAAUGGACGCAAGUCUGAUGGAGCAACGCCGCGUGAGCGAAGAAGGUCUUCGGAUCGUAAAACUCUGUUGUUAGAGAAGAACACGGGUGAGAGUAACUGUUCACCUGUUGACGGUAUCUAACCAGCAAGUCACGGCUAACUACGUGCCAGCAGCCGCGGUAAUACGUAGGUGGCAAGCGUUAUCCGGAUUUAUUGGGCGUAAAGGGAACGCAGGCGGUUCUUUAAGUCUGAUGUGAAAGCCUUCGGCUUAACCGAAGAUGUGCAUUGGAAACUGGGGAACUUGAGUGCAGAAGAGGAGAGUGGAACUCCAUGUGUAGCGGUGAAAUGCGUAGAUAUAUGGAAGAACACCAGUGGCGAAAGCGGCUCUCUGGUCUGUAACUGACGCUGAGGUUCGAAAGCGUGGGUAGCGAACAGGAUUAGAUACCCUGGUAGUCCACGCCGUAAACGAUGAAUGCUAGGUGUUGGAGGGUUUCCGCCCUUCAGUGCCGCAGCUAACGCACUAAGCAUUCCGCCUGGGGAGUACGACCGCAAGGUUGAAACUCAAAGGAAUUGACGGGGGCCCGCACAAGCGGUGGAGCAUGUGGUUUAAUUCGAAGCUACGCGAAGAACCUUACCAGGUCUUGACAUCUUUUGACCACCUAAGAGAUUAGGUUUUCCCUUCGGGGACAAAAUGACAGGUGGUGCAUGGUUGUCGUCAGCUCGUGUCGUGAGAUGUUGGGUUAAGUCCCGCAACGAGCGCAACCCUUGUUGUCAGUUGCCAGCAUUCAGUUGGGCACUCUGGCGAGACUGCCGGUGACAAACCGGAGGAAGGUGGGGAUGACGUCAAAUCAUCAUGCCCCUUAUGACCUGGGCUACACACGUGCUACAAUGGGCAGUACAACGAGUCGCGAAACCGCGAGGUUUAGCAAAUCUCUUAAAGCUGCUCUCAGUUCGGACUGCAGGCUGCAACUCGCCUGCACGAAGUCGGAAUCGCUAGUAAUCGCGAAUCAGCAUGUCGCGGUGAAUACGUUCCCGGGCCUUGUACACACCGCCCGUCACACCAUGAGAGUUUGUAACACCCAAAGCCGGUGGGGUAACCUUUUGGAGCCAGCCGUCUAAGGUGGGACAGAUGAUUGGGGUGAAGUCGUAACAAGGUAGCCGUAGGAGAACCUGCGGCUGGAUCACCUCCUUU
RNAcentral lists this ribosomal RNA (1264 nucleotides) under Ligilactobacillus saerimneri. Its description in RNAcentral is "bacterial SSU rRNA". It matches the Rfam family "Bacterial small subunit ribosomal RNA", at positions 276 to 1533 of the family's 1533-position model. Lineage: Bacteria; Bacillati; Bacillota; Bacilli; Lactobacillales; Lactobacillaceae. The record is from RNAcentral.